UCCUGAUGGCUCAGCGGUAAAGAAUCUGCCUGCAAUGCAGGAGCCACAGGAGACCUGGGUUCGAUCCCUAGGUCAGGAA
Molecule: transfer RNA, 79 nt
Filed under: Bos taurus (domestic cattle)
Lineage: Eukaryota; Metazoa; Chordata; Mammalia; Artiodactyla; Bovidae
Also listed under: 3 other names
Rfam family: tRNA
About the family: Transfer RNA (tRNA) molecules are approximately 80 nucleotides in length. Their secondary structure includes four short double-helical elements and three loops (D, anti-codon, and T loops).
Source: Rfam by way of RNAcentral